UAGCAGAUGACCCUCAUUUGUAAUGUAUCAUAUAAAGGCAAAAACUGUUUUUAAAAAGGAUUGCAUCUUUAUAUGGUAGUAUUAUUGCAACAGCAGUAAUGUGCAGUGUGUUUGGGAUGUCACAGAAAUAGCAGUAAUGUGCAGUGUGUAUGGGAUGUUACAGAGAUAGUAGUAAUGCGCAGUGUGUAUGGGAUGUUACAGAGAUAGUAGUAAUGCGCAGUGUGUAUGGGGUGUUACAGAGAUAGCAGUAAUGUGCAGUGUGUAUGGGAUGUCACAGAGAUAGCAGUAAUGCGUAGUGUGUAUGGGGAUGUUACAGAGAUAUCAGUAAUGUGCAGUGUGUAUGGGGUGUUACAGAGAUAGCAGUAAUGCGCAGUGUGUAUGGGGUGUUACAGAGAUAGCAGUAAUGCGCAGUGUGUAUGGGGUGUUACAGAGAUAGCAGUAAUGCACAGUGUGUAUGGGGUGUUACAGAGAUAGCAGUAAUGCGCAGUGUGUAUGGGAUGUUACAGAGAUAUCAGUAAUGCGCAGUGUGUAUGGGAUGUUACAGAGAUAGCAGUAAUGUGCAGUGUGUAUGGGGAUGUUACAGAAAUAGCAGUAAUGUGCAGUGUGUAUGGGGGGUUACAGAGAUAGCAGUAAUGCGCAGUGUGUAUGGGGUGUUACAGAGAUAGCAGUAAUGCGCAGUGUGUAUGGGAUGUUACAGAGAUAUCAGUAAUGCGCAGUGUGUAUGGGGUGUUACAGAGAUAGCAGUAAUGCGCAGUGUGUAUGGGGUGUUACAGAGAUAUCAGUAAUGCGCAGUGUGUAUGGGGUGUUACAGAGAUAGCAGUAAUGCGCAAUGCGCAAUGUGUAUGGGAUGUCACAGAGAUAGCAGUAAUGCGCAGUGUGUAUGGGGUGUUACAGAGAUAGCAGUAAUGCGCAGUGUGUAUGGGGUGUUACAGAGAUAUCAGUAAUGCGCAGUGUGUAUGGGGUGUUACAGAGAUAGCAGUAAUGCGCAGUGUGUAUGGGAUGUUACAGAGAUAGCAGUAAUGCGCAGUGUGUAUGGGGUGUUACAGAGAUAGCAGUAAUGCGCAGUGUGUAUGGGAUGUUACAGAGAUAGCAGUAAUGCGCAGUGUGUAUGGGGUGUUACAGAGAUAGCAGUAAUGUGCAGUGUGUAUGG
This is a non-coding RNA of Pelobates cultripes (western spadefoot toad), 1150 nucleotides long. NCBI's taxonomy places the organism in Eukaryota, Metazoa, Chordata, Amphibia, Anura, Pelobatidae. The record is from the annotation of a GenBank genome assembly.